This 356-nucleotide long non-coding RNA is filed under the name Micromonas commoda. Its description in RNAcentral is "long non-coding RNA (MCOM_LNC000334)". The record is from RNAcentral. Lineage: Eukaryota; Viridiplantae; Chlorophyta; Mamiellophyceae; Mamiellales; Mamiellaceae.
AGCUUCAUCUCUCCAAUUAGGCCUCGACGCGGUCCUUGCACAGCUCAACAAGGGGCUUCUCGUUGCGCACGCAACCCUGCUCAGACUUGGUGACGUAGUCGGAGAACUUGUUCUGCAUCUCGUACGAGCACACCGCGGUCAUCUCGCAGUCGGUGAGACCGCAGGUGCCCGCCGCCGCGCCGGACGCAAAGGUCAUGUAAGUCUCGAGGUCGCUGUGGAACUUGUCAGACACAGACGCCUUCACCGGGUUGAACACGCCAAACGCCUCCUCAGCCGCAGCCUUCUUGGUGAACUUGUCCGCAACCGCGCUGUUGUAGCCGACGACAGCACCCUUGUAAGAGGAGAGAGUGUUGUUG